GACGAACGCUGGCGGCGUGCUUAACACAUGCAAGUCGAACGGAAAGGCCCUGCUUUUGUGGGGUGCUCGAGUGGCGAACGGGUGAGUAACACGUGAGUAACCUGCCCUUGACUUUGGGAUAACUUCAGGAAACUGGGGCUAAUACCGGAUAGGAGCUCCUGCUGCAUGGUGGGGGUUGGAAAGUUUCGGCGGUUGGGGAUGGACUCGCGGCUUAUCAGCUUGUUGGUGGGGUAGUGGCUUACCAAGGCUUUGACGGGUAGCCGGCCGGGGAGGGUGACCGGCCAAAUUGGGACGGAGAUGCGGCCCAGACUCCUACGGGAGGCAGCAGUGGGGAAUAUUGCACAAUGGGCGGAAGCCUGAUGCAGCAACGCCGCGUGCGGGAUGACGGCCUUCGGGUUGUAAACCGCUUUCGCCUGUGACGAAGCGUGAGUGACGGUAAUGGGUAAAGAAGCACCGGCUAACUACGUG
This 468-nucleotide ribosomal RNA is filed under the name uncultured bacterium. Its description in RNAcentral is "partial 16S ribosomal RNA". It matches the Rfam family "Bacterial small subunit ribosomal RNA", at positions 28 to 507 of the family's 1533-position model. The record is from RNAcentral.